GAUAAACGCUGGCGGCGCACAUAAGACAUGCAAGUCGAACGGACUUAACCGAAAUGUUUACAUUUUGGAGCGGUUAGUGGCGGACUGGUGAGUAACACGUAAGCAACCUGCCUAUCAGAGGGGAAUAACAGUGAGAAAUCAUUGCUAAUACCGCAUAUGCUGUGUAGUAUCGCAUGAUACAAACAGGAAAGGAGCAAUCCGCUGAUAGAUGGGCUUGCGUCUGAUUAGAUAGUUGGUGGGGUAACGGCCUACCAAGUCGACGAUCAGUAGCCGGACUGAGAGGUUGAACGGCCACAUUGGGACUGAGAUACGGCCCAG
This 318-nucleotide ribosomal RNA is filed under the name uncultured bacterium. RNAcentral describes it as "bacterial SSU rRNA". It matches the Rfam family "Bacterial small subunit ribosomal RNA", at positions 28 to 334 of the family's 1533-position model. The record is from RNAcentral.